This 472-nucleotide ribosomal RNA is filed under the name Streptococcus gordonii. RNAcentral's name for it is "bacterial SSU rRNA". It matches the Rfam family "Bacterial small subunit ribosomal RNA", at positions 28 to 474 of the family's 1533-position model. Lineage: Bacteria; Bacillati; Bacillota; Bacilli; Lactobacillales; Streptococcaceae. The record is from RNAcentral.
GACGAACGCUGGCGGCGUGCCUAAUACAUGCAAGUAGAACGCACAGUUUAUACCGUAGCUUGCUACACCAUAGACUGUGAGUUGCGAACGGGUGAGUAACGCGUAGGUAACCUGCCUGGUAGCGGGGGAUAACUAUUGGAAACGAUAGCUAAUACCGCAUAAUAUUAAUUAUUGCAUGAUAAUUAAUUGAAAGGUGCAAUUGCACCACUACCAGAUGGACCUGCGUUGUAUUAGCUAGUAGGUGAGGUAACGGCUCACCUAGGCGACGAUACAUAGCCGACCUGAGAGGGUGAUCGGCCACACUGGGACUGAGACACGGCCCAGACUCCUACGGGAGGCAGCAGUAGGGAAUCUUCGGCAAUGGACGAAAGUCUGACCGAGCAACGCCGCGUGAGUGAAGAGGGUUUUCGGAUCGUAAAGCUCUGUUGUAAGAGAAGAACGGGUGUGAGAGUGGAAAGUUCACACUGUGACG